RNAcentral lists this long non-coding RNA (3149 nucleotides) under Triticum aestivum (bread wheat). RNAcentral describes it as "long non-coding RNA (TAES_LNC004624)". The record is from RNAcentral. Lineage: Eukaryota; Viridiplantae; Streptophyta; Magnoliopsida; Poales; Poaceae.
CCUUUAAGAAACUUCAAGUUGGCUUCCAUGAGAACUAUCACUUACUAAUAUACCAGAUAAAAUACACUUAAUCUCUAACACCUCUUGCACCAUGCCAUUGAACGUUCCUUCGAGCACUUGCCUCGCUUGCUCACAAGCUUGUAGUUUCGAAACCAAUUCCGCCUUACUUAAUGCUGGUCCUUGCAAUGUCUCUAAUUCCCCACAUACAUAUCUGGAGAUAAAAAACCGUUGCGAAAUUACUAACCAAAAACACUAUCCAGAACAAUCAAUAUAGAUGUUCAUUUGUACCAAAAAAAUCAAGUAACAACCAGUAAAUAUUUUCUCUUCACUCAUGAGACACCAUCACAAGUCCUUAUCAUUCUUCACCAAUGACUACAAUGCCUCGUGAUGUUACUUUUAAGGUGGACCAUCCGUUCUACAAAAAACAUUAAUGGUUUAUAUGUCAGUACAUAUAAAAGAACUAGCAAAGAGGAUAAUAUCAUAAAGGAACAAGUUUCCACUUGAAUUCUUCAAUAGUCCUUAUCCUUGUGCGACAAAGGCAAACUAUUUUAAGCAAAUAUUAAUUGGAAUGUUUCUUUUCUAAUUCAAGCAAAACUAGAGUUAUUCUAUUUCUCAGGAAAAAAUGAACUUUUUUGGUUGUUGUUAUAUACCCAACUAAUUUUUUAACACAUAUACCCAACAAAUUAAAACCAAAUAUUAUUCUCAUCUGCUUAAAAAAACUACCAUUCUUCUCAAGAGUGAGUGAUAUACAUACCUCAAAACGGCCUCCUGGCUUUUCUUUGUCACCCUGGAGGAGAAGAGGAGCUUCAAAGUGGUGAGCAUAUGAAAAACAGAGCACGCAAGGAGACAUCAAUUUUGGAGAAGUUUAAGCUUACAAGAAAAACUGACAAUUACCUUGCCCUGGAGCAUGGGAACUGCACAAUGGACCAUGUACUGAGCGUCUACAAUGGCAAUCUACUCUUUGGGAUUCUAACAAAUUAGAUCAAAAGUGAAAAAAAGUAUACAUUAGGUAUACACGACUAUAUAUUGCACAUGAUAUCUUUUUACACAUUGUUGCUCAAUAAUUAGGCUAUGCUUACAUUGACACAUCUCCAAAUGUAGGAGUCAAUAGGCCAUCGAUUGAUGAGGUCAUUCUGAAAAUCAAACUCGUUAACUCUUCUUUUCAGUUCACACAAGCCAAAAUUAUCAAUCAUGUACAUACAAGUUAAAAAUAAUCAGCAGCCAAACACAUUGUCCUCACUUUCAGAUCAGGCAAGUAAAAAAACGUCUUUGUUCUGAGAAGUGUAUGCACGUACCUAUAUCAGUGCCACACGCAUCUCCAAGCAUCCCUUCACAAGACUGGCACCAUCACCUCCACAAACCUGCAUCCAGGUUUACAUCUUCACUUUCAAAUUGAAAAAUCUCAAACAAAAAUGGUCAGAGUGAAGAAUUUAGCUAGUUAAUUACCUGCUACACUGCAGCCUUUGCACGUCCCGACAAAGCUCGUUCCCAAUAUCUGUCCUCUUCAUGCCAUGCGAGAGACUACAACCCGAAUUCAACCUCUGUUUUCGCAAUGAGCAGCAGCUGCACCCUUUCUCCGUCCUAACGAGUCCUGCAUCGUAUCCGCCUCUGCCUUCCCCUCCCAUCUAAAGACCUGAAUAAGAACUGCUGGGAAACCAUUAGCGAUCCACUCCAAAUAUCCCGAGCCCGCUACGAGAUACGGCCGAUGCGGUAGCAACACUGACCUCAUCACCGAGCUAGAUCCGACCAACACGUAGGAGUAUUGACCUCAUCACUGAACUACUAGAUCCGAUGGAUGCGGAACUGACCUCGGCGUUGAUCCUCUGGACCCCGUUGCGCUGCUCGUCGAGCACCUGACAAGGGAUCCGGUCCACUCGGACGACCUCGGCAGCGAGCGUUGGUCCUCUGCUCCACUCGGACGACCUCGGCAGCGAGCGCAUCUUGGUCGGCGUCCUGCGAUGAGGAGGCGAGGGGACGACAUGGGCAUGCGGCGUUCGUGGCGGUGGCGGCUGCGGGGGCGAGCGGCUCAAUCUGAGAGGGGAUGCGCCACCGUGGUUUACCUAGACGCGAGACUGUAGGGAUAGUUAGAAGUGACUUUUAUUUAUCUUCCUUUUAUCUCCCUCGUUUCACCAGAUAAGGAUGGUAAUUACUCUAAAAAAUAAAAGUAUCAAAUAUAUGGAGUAUUAAUCAACUACAGCCACCAAACUAACGACCGGCAUAUCCAUCGCUGUUCGGGAGGUUUCGUGGGGUUAGUUUAAAUGUGGGACUAGCUCAUCGGAAGAAUAACAACCAAGACUUUUAGAUGUUGGUCGUUAUUGGCUUAAUUUCUAGUAGUGUCACUAGGAAGCGAGCCCUUUGACUUCCAUGGCCGCCCGCCUUGCUCGCAUCCUCUCCAUUAAUGGCGCCCGAGCUGCUGUUUAAUACGGGCAGCCUUACUAUUCACCUCCCAUUCCCCUCCCUCCCGCAGACCUCUCACUACUAGGAAAACGAUUUUUAACGAUGGUAUAUGUGGUCGUUAAAGGUCGGAUCGUGGUCAUUAAAGGUCAUUAACGACCACAAUCUGCUGGUCGUAGUAGGCUCCGUCGUUAAAAGUAUAACGACCACAUACCUUUUGUGGUCGUUAUUCUUGUAACGACGAGAUGGUGUGCGGUCGUCAAUCCCAUGGAAAUAACGACCACAAUUGUCGUCGCUAAUAAUGUUAUCAUGUUGACCAAAGUAUCAUUAGCGACCACUCUCUUCACACAUUGAUAUCCUUCAGAACCACUUAUAUUUAGUAUAAUUUUGCGUUGAACGAUCACUUUAUGCAGCAUCCAACAUUUCAAUAUUAACAUCCAUAUUAAUAUAAAAACAAGAGAAUAUGGUUUGAAAGGAUCAUAGCCUCUUUUAUUAAUAAAAAUACCAAUAUUCUGACAUACAUUAAAAUAUCCUUUAAGAACCUUCAAGUUGGCUUCCAUGAGAACUAUCACUUACUAAUAUACCAGAUACAAUACACUUAAUUUCUAACACCUCUUGCACCAUGCCAUUGAACGUUCCUUCGAGCACUUGCCUCGCUUGCUCACAAGCUUGUAGUUUCGAAACCAAUUCCGCCUUACUUAAUGCUGGUCCUCGCAAUGUCUCUAAUUCCCCACAUACAUAUCUGGAGAUAAAAA